This 393-nucleotide ribosomal RNA is filed under the name uncultured bacterium. RNAcentral describes it as "partial 16S ribosomal RNA". It matches the Rfam family "Bacterial small subunit ribosomal RNA", at positions 523 to 918 of the family's 1533-position model. The record is from RNAcentral.
AUACGGAGGAUCCGAGCGUUAUCCGGAUUUAUUGGGUUUAAAGGGUGCGCAGGCGGGAGAUUAAGUCGGCGGUGAAAUUUUGCAGCUCAACUGUAAAAGUGCCUUCGAAACUGGGUUCCUUGAGUGUAGAUGAAGGAGGCGGAAUUUGUGGUGUAGCGGGGAAAUGCAUAGAUAUCACGAGGAACUCCGAUUGCGCAGGCAGCUUACUAAACUACUACUGACGCUCAGGCACGAAGGCGUGGGGAUCAAACAGGAUUAGAUACCCUGGUAGUCCACGCAGUAAACGAUGAUUACUAGCUGUUUGCGAUACAAUGUAAGCGGCUGAGCGAAAGCGUUAAGUAAUCCACCUGGGGAGUACGUUCGCAAGAAUGAAACUCAAAUGAAUUGACGGGG